RNAcentral lists this long non-coding RNA (285 nucleotides) under Sorghum bicolor (sorghum). Its description in RNAcentral is "long non-coding RNA (SBIC_LNC009664)". Lineage: Eukaryota; Viridiplantae; Streptophyta; Magnoliopsida; Poales; Poaceae. The record is from RNAcentral.
CAACAUGACUUCUUUAUAAGCCUUUUAGUUGAAAAAAAAAUACAAUUUUUUUCAAAAAAUAACUAAUUAUACAGAUUGUAGCUACUUUAAAAGAUGAAUCUUUUAAGCUUUUCACUAUUUUAAUUUUUUAAUGUUCUUAAAAUAUAUUAAGAGGUUAAACGUACUUCAACUUUAAUAAAAUAUACAAGAAAUUACUAAUAUUUACGGUGCUUAAUCAGGUAGUUUUUUUUCCAUGUUAUCAUAUUAUAAAAACUGUGCAUUAGCAAAAGUUGUGUUGUCAUGUUC